GGUGCGGGACACACCGCAAAACUAGGCCGACAGACGCUCACCGACGGCCCCAAAUUGUCUGACGGCUGACCGUCGGCUCGGUGUGUCAGGGCCAUAAAAGCAUCUCUCCAAGAAAGCGAAUAAAGUCAU
Molecule: long non-coding RNA, 129 nt
Organism: Sebastes umbrosus (honeycomb rockfish)
Lineage: Eukaryota; Metazoa; Chordata; Actinopteri; Perciformes; Sebastidae
Exons: 3
Source: RefSeq, a predicted model, not a curated record